GCCUAAGAGCAGCCACCUGUUAAAAAGCGUCAAAGCUUAACCAUGCCCACACCAAUUUUAAAUUUNUCCAUUGACCCCUUUAACUUUACUGGGAAUUUCUAUAUNCAUAUAGAACAUUUUAUGCUAAAACUAGUAACAAGAGAAAACCNCUCUCCCNAAUGCAAACACAAGCCAGCAAGAACCCGUCACUGGCAAUUAACAGACCUAAACAAAAAUAGUAACAUCUCUAGAAAACCCUAUUCCUUACAACUGUUAACCUAACACCAGAGCAUUUCAGGAAAGAUUAAAAGAAAAAGAAGGAACUCGGCAAAUCACUAACCCCGCCUGUUUACCAAAAACAUCGCCUCUUGCCCCCNNNAUAAGAGGUCAAGCCUGCCCAGUGACUUNUGUUCAACGGCCGCGGUAUCCUAACCGUGCAAAGGUAGCGUAAUCACUUGUCUUCUAAAUAAAGACCAGUAUGAAAGGCAUCACGAGGGUUAAACUGUCUCCUUUCUCCAAUCAGUGAACCUAAUCCCCCCGUGAAGAAGCGGGGAUUACCCUAUAAGACGAGAAGACCCUAUGGAGCUUAAAACAUUAAAACAUCUGCCACAAANNNCUAAACCACCCAGGUUCUUUCCCCCCCCCGCACUUUGAUUUUAUGUUUUCGGUUGGGGUGACCGCGGAGAAAAACUGAUCCUCCACGAUGAACGGGGAACUCCCCCUAAACAAUAAGCUACACCUUUAUGCAUCAAUAAAUUGACAUACAUUGACCCAAUAACUUGAUUAACGAACCAAGUUACCCUAGGGAUAACAGCGCAAUCCACUUUAAGAGUCCCUAUCGACAAGUGGGCUUACGACCUCGAUGUUGGAUCAGGGUAUCCUAGUGGUGUAGACG
Molecule: ribosomal RNA, 874 nt
Filed under: Pristimantis prometeii
Lineage: Eukaryota; Metazoa; Chordata; Amphibia; Anura; Strabomantidae
Description: partial 16S ribosomal RNA
Rfam family: Bacterial large subunit ribosomal RNA
Source: RNAcentral